AAUCGCUAAUCGAUGGAACUUAAGACAGUGGGUCCUCGUCAGAGGAUAAUGGUCGUGUACCACCCACCGAGGUUCGGAGCGUUUUUCAUGUCUCUUAGAUCAUGGAAUCUAGGCUUCCGGUCCUCGGUGGAUCGGAAGCCUAUCUUUUUUUGA
This is a non-coding RNA of Dethiosulfovibrio peptidovorans DSM 11002, 153 nucleotides long. The record is from Rfam. NCBI's taxonomy places the organism in Bacteria, Thermotogati, Synergistota, Synergistia, Synergistales, Dethiosulfovibrionaceae.